RNAcentral lists this ribosomal RNA (602 nucleotides) under uncultured bacterium. RNAcentral describes it as "bacterial SSU rRNA". It matches the Rfam family "Bacterial small subunit ribosomal RNA", at positions 212 to 806 of the family's 1533-position model. The record is from RNAcentral.
CUGUCACUUAUAGAUGGAUCCGCGCCGUAUUAGCUAGUUGGUAAGGUAACGGCUUACCAAGGCAACGAUACGUAGCCGACCUGAGAGGGUGAUCGGCCACACUGGAACUGAGACACGGUCCAGACUCCUACGGGAGGCAGCAGUAGGGAAUCUUCCGCAAUGGGCGAAAGCCUGACGGAGCAACGCCGCGUGAGUGAUGAAGGUCUUCGGAUCGUAAAACUCUGUUAUCAGGGAAGAACAAAUGUGUAAGUAACUGUGCACAUCUUGACGGUACCUGAUCAGAAAGCCACGGCUAACUACGUGCCAGCAGCCGCGGUAAUACGUAGGUGGCAAGCGUUAUCCGGAAUUAUUGGGCGUAAAGCGCGCGUAGGCGGUUUUUUAAGUCUGAUGUGAAAGCCCACGGCUCAACCGUGGAGGGUCAUUGGAAACUGGAAAACUUGAGUGCAGAAGAGGAAAGUGGAAUUCCAUGUGUAGCGGUGAAAUGCGCAGAGAUAUGGAGGAACACCAGUGGCGAAGGCGACUUUCUGGUCUGUAACUGACGCUGAUGUGCGAAAGCGUGGGGAUCAAACAGGAUUAGAUACCCUGGUAGUCCACGCCGUAAA